This 72-nucleotide transfer RNA is filed under the name Pangasianodon gigas (Mekong giant catfish). RNAcentral describes it as "tRNA-Glu". The record is from RNAcentral. Lineage: Eukaryota; Metazoa; Chordata; Actinopteri; Siluriformes; Pangasiidae.
CCUGGAGGACUAGUGGUUAGGCCUCGGGGCUCUCGCCGCCGUGGCCCGGGUUCGAUUCAGGUUGCGUCAGGA